GUCGACUCUAGAGGGGAUCCAGAUCUAUUACCGCGGCUGCUGGCACGUAGUUAGCCGGUGCUUCUUAGUCCGGUACCGUCAUCCAUGUCCUAUGUUAGAGAACACGAUUUCUUCCCGGCCGAAAGAGCUUUACAACCCGAAGGCCUUCUUCACUCACGCGGCAUGGCUGGAUCAGGCUUGCGCCCAUUGUCCAAUAUUCC
Molecule: ribosomal RNA, 200 nt
Filed under: uncultured bacterium
Lineage: Bacteria
Description: partial 16S ribosomal RNA
Source: RNAcentral